CGGGGCGUUGCGCAGCUUGGUAGCGCGCUUGCUUUGGGAGCAAGAGGUCAUGGGUUCAAAUCCCAUCGCCCCGACCA
RNAcentral lists this transfer RNA (77 nucleotides) under Candidatus Enterosoma merdigallinarum. RNAcentral's name for it is "tRNA-Pro". It matches the Rfam family "tRNA". From Rfam's summary of the family: Transfer RNA (tRNA) molecules are approximately 80 nucleotides in length. Their secondary structure includes four short double-helical elements and three loops (D, anti-codon, and T loops). Further hydrogen bonds mediate the characteristic L-shaped molecular structure. tRNAs have two regions of fundamental functional importance: the anti-codon, which is responsible for specific mRNA codon recognition, and the 3' end, to which the tRNAs corresponding amino acid is attached (by aminoacyl-tRNA synthetases). tRNAs cope with the degeneracy of the genetic code in two manners: having more than one tRNA (with a specific anti-codon) for a particular amino acid; and 'wobble' base-pairing, i.e. permitting non-standard base-pairing at the 3rd anti-codon position. The record is from RNAcentral. Lineage: Bacteria; Bacillati; Bacillota; Bacilli; Caryophanales.